CAACGCCACCUAUGAAGGAGAUUCGCACCUCUAGAGACGGACCUUCUCCACCUCCUCCGAAGCCACCCGUGAAGGAGAAUAACACCAUAGGAGCUGGACCUCCUCCACCACCACCUUUAAAGGAGAAUAACACCAUUGCAGCUGGACCUCCUCCACCACCACCACCACCUCCUCCAACGCCACCUUUAAAGGAGAAUAACACCAUUGCAGCUGGACCUCCUCCAGCACCACCACCUCCUCCAAUGCCACCUUUGAAGGAGAAUAACAAAAUUGGAGUUGGACCUCCUCCUCCACCACCACCACCACCUCCGCCUUUGAAGGAGAAUCUUGUUAUUGGAUCUGGACCUCGUCCUCCUCCCCCUCCUCCCCCUCCUCUUCAUUCAGGGCCAACAACCAGCCUAACUGUUUCAUCUCCGAUGCCACCAGCGCCGCCGCCUCCUCCCAUUAUGUCAACC
RNAcentral lists this long non-coding RNA (455 nucleotides) under Populus trichocarpa (black cottonwood). Its description in RNAcentral is "long non-coding RNA (PTRI_LNC004058)". Lineage: Eukaryota; Viridiplantae; Streptophyta; Magnoliopsida; Malpighiales; Salicaceae. The record is from RNAcentral.